ACCACACCCACCACCUUCACGCUAGAACCUCGGAGCGAGGACUGGAGAAGGAGAGAGACUCAGACAUUUGGAGAAGCAGCAAUUGUCGUCUCGGUUUUCUAAGACCAGAAAUGUAAAAACAUUGUCGGCCAAGCAGUGUUUGCUGAAGGAUAUUGAAGAUCAUCAGUCGUAACAAUGCUACUGCCUUGUUUGGCUUGAAUCUGGUUCAUCUAUUGAAUG
Molecule: long non-coding RNA, 219 nt
Organism: Amphimedon queenslandica
Lineage: Eukaryota; Metazoa; Porifera; Demospongiae; Haplosclerida; Niphatidae
Exons: 2
Source: RefSeq, a predicted model, not a curated record